Molecule: ribosomal RNA, 253 nt
Filed under: uncultured bacterium
Lineage: Bacteria
Description: partial 16S ribosomal RNA
Rfam family: Bacterial small subunit ribosomal RNA
Source: RNAcentral
UACGGAAGGGGCAAGCGUUGUUCGGAAUCAUUGGGCGUAAAGGGCGCGUAGGUGGUUCUGUAUGUCUACCGUGAAAACUCGAGGCUCAACCUCGAGACGCCGGUGGAAACCGUAAGGCUAGAGUCCGGAAGAGGAGAGUGGAAUUCCUGGUGUAGCGGUGAAAUGCGCAGAUAUCAGGAAGAACAUCGGUGGCGAAGGCGCUCUGCUGGACCAUAACUGACACUCAGGGACGAAAGCUAGGGGAGCGAAUGGG